AUUUGCACCAAAAUCAUCUGACUCCCAAGCCUCUUCUCUUAACUGCUAUGAUAUGUAGCCCCCGCCGUGUCCCCCCUCACCUAGUGGUCACAGUCCAGGUCCUUGGAGUCAAGACCAAACCUGAAUCUGAAGCCUAACUAAGCACUUAGUACUAAGGAGUUUAGACUGCUUCCCAAGCUUCAUCAAACACUGCAAUGGUCUUUCAAAACUCUCCUAGCCAUGAAAAAGAUGGAGAAACUGCAUCUCAGACAGACUAUGGUGAUGGGCCUGGACAAAGCUGCUGGCUUCUGAAAGUCUCUCCCACACUGAAGAGGGAGGAUGGUGCCACGACUUCUAGGUGGUGGGAAGACCCAGCUCCAGCGUGGGCUUCCACUCUUCUUCCCAGGAAAGAAUUGAAGGCAUAAAGAAAAUAGGUUGUUAAAUAUUUCAAAGUACAGAAAGGUGAAAGGAAUUCUGUAAAGAACACCCAUAUGCCUACUACUCAGCUAAAGAAAUGAAUCAUCACAAGUAUGGUUGAAGCCCCUGUAUACACCCUAUUCUGUUUUCCCAUACCCUAUCUUUCUCCCUUCUUCCAGAUACAAGUUUUUUUAUUUUAUUUUAUAUACAUUAAUGGGUCCCUAACCAAAAAAAAAAGUGUUCCUUUCAAGUUUUUAGACUACAUAAUAGAAUUCUG
Molecule: long non-coding RNA, 673 nt
Filed under: Vulpes vulpes (red fox)
Lineage: Eukaryota; Metazoa; Chordata; Mammalia; Carnivora; Canidae
Description: lncRNA (ENSVVUG00000029674.1)
Source: RNAcentral